This 30-nucleotide non-coding RNA is filed under the name Homo sapiens (human). The record is from RNAcentral. Lineage: Eukaryota; Metazoa; Chordata; Mammalia; Primates; Hominidae.
UGACAAAGUGCCAAGCAAAUGGAUGUUUUC